UCUUUACGGAAUAUGUUACUGAAACACCAGGGGUUUGGUCUAGGUCCUGCUGCUCACUGCACAGAAAGCCAAUCACUGAGACAGUGAGUAUUGCCAGGCAAGAAGGCUUUAAUCAGGUGCUGCGGCCCAGGAGUUGGGAAAUCAGUCUCAAAUCAACUGCCUGAGUGACUAAAAUUAAGGCUUUAUAUAGCAGAGAAGAAAUGUAACCAUGCAUGGAAGAACAAGAGUUAGGGAGGAGCAAAGAAGAGGAGUCAGUCAACAGGAAGCAGGUAGGCAUGGGCGGGAGCCCAGGCUGCAUGUGGUGCUCCUGGGCUGGCGCCUGCUGGGCUUGAUCUGGGGACAAACUCCUUCUGGGCUGCCAGGGAUAGGUUCCGCAAAGUCCCUCAGAGAGUGCCAUUGAGAGGUGAAGCCAGCUGGGCUUCUGGGUCGGGUGGGGACUUGGAGAACUUUUGGGAUUGUAAACGCACCAAUCAGAACUCUGUCUAGCUCAAAG
RNAcentral lists this long non-coding RNA (493 nucleotides) under Homo sapiens (human). Its description in RNAcentral is "non-protein coding lnc-GATA3-21:1". Lineage: Eukaryota; Metazoa; Chordata; Mammalia; Primates; Hominidae. The record is from RNAcentral.